AUUAUUUGUUUAUAAGAUGGAGCAAUAAAAAGAAUAAUUGUUACUGAACGAAAAAAACGUAAAAACAAGAGGGAGAGUGAGAGAACAUUCUGUAGAUCAUACCCUACGAGUACUCGUUGAUGUCUAAGCUGACGUUAAGUAAUUCGAGAAAAAGAAAAAGAAAAGGAAAUAUGAUUUUAGUAGACCAUAGACAAUCGUCUUUGUACGGCUUCAGUAGCUUGAAUCAUCAUCAGAGAGUCACACUAGGGAACUUGCAUGACCCACGGCUAGGAUUUGUGGUGGUCUGCUCUGCAAGUCCAUUGAAGUGGCAAUUGGCACCUUGGCUCCUAAACUGAGCCCAGUACGAGCUAAAAGCAUAACUGGAAUGCCAAGUAACAGAUAUUGGCUCAUAACAUUCCCUCCCAGGAUCCAAGGCAUCACAUGUCCCAUUUCCUUGACUGCAAGCGUACUCUAAUGCCCUAUCCAACUCCAUCAAAUCAGCCCCUCUCGCUGCUAUGCACCACAACUUCUCCUUGUAAGGGUCGUUAUUAUUCGGCUUUGGCAAUGGUCCAUACUCGGAUUGUAGGUGAUUUCCUGUCAAGUCAAUGUCAUAUAUGGGUGCUCCAUUUGCAUUCAGUAACCCCCAAUGCCUCUCUGUUCCAGGACCAUCCUUCUGGUUCUCAUCAUAUAAUGAGAAGAUGAAUGUUGGUAUGACUUCACCUGGUCUCGCUGGUGUUCCUAUUGGUGGCUUAGCGGUCAUCCUUUUUACGAGAUUUUGAUUGUAAGUUGCUGCAUUGUAUAUGUUAGCUCCAGGUUGAUCUAUAUCCCCUGCAUUAGGCCAACCAGUUUCAGAUAUCGAUAACCUGACGUCAGGGAAGCCCAGUUUAGUCAUGGCAAAUAUGACAGAGUCAAGCAUUUGGUCUAGGAGGUUGGUGUAGACAAAGCCAGUAGCAGGGUCAGUAUAGUUCUCAUUUGAUUUGAACAAAGCCAUGUCGAUGCUUGUAUUGCUGGGGUUAGCAGACCAUGCGAAGUAAGGGUAAACGUCAAUGAAGAAGAAUGAUUUAGUUCCAUUCAGGAACUUAAGCAAUGGUACAAUCACUGUACUUGAAAUAUCGGACCUGAAAUUUCCCUUUGAUGGUGGAAAGGUUGUUUGGAGUAUGUCCAUGGCUAGUGGGGUACCAACUUUGAUAUUCUGAAUCUUCUGGGCUCUAAGAGAAUUCUUAAUUCUUCGCAUUGCAGGGACAAGAUUAAGCCAAAUAUUCUUUUCCUGGUCUGAAAAACAACUCAGAACUUCAUUGCCAACCAGAAUGAAUCGAAUCAUAGUAUCAGGAUAGUAUUGGAAGACAUUGUCUUGGACCCACUUAUUGGCUAUGGAUUGGUCAGAAGCAAUGCUGAUGAUUUCAUGAUUUGGGACCAUAAUAGAUACAUGGAUCUUGGUUCCUGAUAAGAGUUUCAAGAUUUCAGGAUUCGCAUCAUAGAGCUUUACACGACCUGCGUUCAUGGAUUGAAUAAUUUGAAUGGAUUGAAAUGCAGACGGCAAGUUGUUCCCUAGCCGGCCGUAGUUUAUCCCUAUCCUGCUUGAAAUUUCUGCAUUUGAGAAAGCAAGGAAGAAGAUAAAGAAGAAGAAAAAAAGCACAACAGAACCACCAUCACCACCAUCUGCCAUGUUUCCUGAACCUGAAAUAUGUUUUCUCAUUAAGGAGUUCUUGCUCAAAUCAAG
RNAcentral lists this unclassified non-coding RNA (1699 nucleotides) under Hevea brasiliensis (rubber tree). Lineage: Eukaryota; Viridiplantae; Streptophyta; Magnoliopsida; Malpighiales; Euphorbiaceae. The record is from RNAcentral.